This is a long non-coding RNA of Beta vulgaris subsp. vulgaris (sugar beet), 1178 nucleotides long. RefSeq lists it as uncharacterized. The record is from RefSeq and is a predicted model, not a curated record. Lineage: Eukaryota; Viridiplantae; Streptophyta; Magnoliopsida; Caryophyllales; Amaranthaceae. The transcript is spliced from 3 exons.
GAGAUUGAUGCAACUGAAACAAGACUUUUUCGAAAUGAUGAAGCAGUUGUUUGGGAUUAAAUUGUUUGGGAUUAUUUGUAUUCUUUUAGACAAUUUUGUUUGGGAUUAUUUGUAUUCUUUUAGACAAUUUUGUUUGGGAUUAAUUUGUUGUUUUGCUUUAGAAUUUUAAGAUGCACUUGUUUGAAAAGUCAGGUUAAAUAAACAAAAUCAGGUUGACCCAUUUCUGAAUAUAACAACCUGAUUUACACCCAAAAUAAAAGUUUCAGGUCAAAUAAGGUCAUAUUCGGGUUGACCCGAACCCGAAAGUAUCAGGUUCAGGUUGGGUUUUUCAACCUGAAAGCUUAAAUGGGUCAGGUUCGGGUUGGGGGGUGGCUGACCCGAAAUCAGCUGACCCGAACACGAACCUGACCCGACCUGAUCUGUUUGACAGCCCUAGUAGUAUUCAUGUUAAAAAGGAAAGGGGGAAAAUAAAAGAAAAAGAAAAGAAAAGAAAAGAAGGAAAACUACGUUAUAGUGGUUCUUCCAUCUUCAUUCUCACUAUCAAACACUCACAAUCUUCAUCACACAAGAACGCUACCAUCUUCAACCUCUCUAUCUUUCCGGCGCCUCAACUACAACACAAGCUUUCUUCACCAUUAAUCUUCCAUAGUAGUGGAUUCCGGUUUCAUUGAGGAGCCGUAUUGACUGCUUGACAUAGUUGAUUUGCUAUAUUUCAAAAGGUACAUGAAGAUUUGCAUGUGGGGUGUGGGCUGAGAGCAAUGUUCCACUAACUUAGUUGAAAUAUAGUAGUUCUAUUUCCGCUGCACUAUAUAUAUAUAUAUCAUCAUUUUGGAACUUAAGGCUGUAAAUAUUAAUUUACUUAAACCUUUACACGCUGGGAUUGUAAUAGUUCAAUUUAGUUGUUGCUUUAACAUUAAUUCAGUUAGGUAGUUAUCCUUAUCGGUUGUUCCUGCAAUAAUCGUGGAAUAACACUCUUGGAUUUUGGAUACUUAUGCAUGGAUGUAUUAAUUUUUGAGCUGGAUAAGGAUCUUGGAGAACUUGGUUUGCUGGAUUAUUGAUACAGGUUUAUAAUUUGGACGCGAGUCCUAAAUGAAUUUUAGGCAGUCCAUAUUUCAGACGGAGCUCUGACCGAAUUUUCUGUAGAAUUUUGAUAUUAUUUAAUUUAAUUAGCAACUCAA